UACGUAGGGGGCGAGCGUUAUCCGGAUUCACUGGGUGUAAAGGGAGCGUAGACGGCCAUGCAAGCCAGGGGUGAAAGCCCGGGGCCCAACCCCGGGACUGCCCUUGGAACUGCAUGGCUGGAGUGCGGGAGGGGCAGGCGGAAUUCCAUGUGUAGCGGUGAAAUGCGUAGAUAUAUGGAGGAACACCGGUGGCAAAAGCGGCUCUCUGGCCUGUAACUGACACUGAGGCUCGAAAGCGUGGGGAGCAAACAGG
RNAcentral lists this ribosomal RNA (253 nucleotides) under uncultured bacterium. RNAcentral's name for it is "partial 16S ribosomal RNA". It matches the Rfam family "Bacterial small subunit ribosomal RNA", at positions 524 to 776 of the family's 1533-position model. The record is from RNAcentral.